This 93-nucleotide small nuclear RNA is filed under the name Ochotona princeps (American pika). Lineage: Eukaryota; Metazoa; Chordata; Mammalia; Lagomorpha; Ochotonidae. The record is from RNAcentral.
UUGCUUCAGUAGCAAAUAUGCUAGAAUUGGAAUGAUAUAGAAUGGUCCCUGCACAAGGAUGAUUCACAAAUUUGUAAAGCAUUUCAUAUUUUA